Molecule: ribosomal RNA, 494 nt
Filed under: uncultured bacterium
Lineage: Bacteria
Description: partial 16S ribosomal RNA
Rfam family: Bacterial small subunit ribosomal RNA
Source: RNAcentral
GACGAACGCUGGCGGCGUGCUUAACACAUGCAAGUCGAACGGAAAGGCCUGCUUUCCCUUGUGGUUUGCGGGUACUCGAGUGGCGAACGGGUGAGUAACACGUGAGUGAUCUGCCCCCAACUUGGGUAUAAGCCUGGGAAACUGGGUCUAAUUCCCGAUAGGACUGCAGGGUGGUGCCUGUGGUGGAAAACGAUUUUCUAGUGGUUGGGGAUGAGCUCGCGGCCUAUCAGCUUGUUGGUGGGGUAAUGGCCUACCAAGGCGGCGACGGGUAGCCGGCCUGAGAGGGUGGACGGCCACAUUGGGACUGAGAUACGGCCCAGACUCCUACGGGAGGCAGCAGUGGGGAAUAUUGCACAGUGGGCGGAAGCCUGAUGCAGCGACGCCGCGUGGGGGAUGACGGCCUUCGGGUUGUAAACUCCUUUCGACCGCGAGGAAGCCACCUGGUUGGAAGGGUGGUGACGGUAGUGGUAGAAGAAGCACCGGCUAACUACGUG